GCCCUGAACAGCCUCAGGAAACUCAAGUUGAUGAAGUUAUUCUGCAGCGGAGCCGCGCCAUCGUCAGGGAGAGAAGGUGAUGAUGAUGAGAGCCACGAAGAUAUUGACAAAGAAAAAGGGGAAGACGACAAAAUACACCACAUAAAAGAUGGACAUCUCCAUCCGGUACCCCGGGCUGGGGCCUUGAUUCUCAUGACCAUGUCGCCAAAUGACUCUGCGGGGCCCUACCGGCCAGAAAAGCUGCAUGGACCGCAACAAGC
This is a long non-coding RNA of Hippocampus comes (tiger tail seahorse), 260 nucleotides long. RefSeq lists it as uncharacterized. The transcript is spliced from 3 exons. The record is from RefSeq and is a predicted model, not a curated record. NCBI's taxonomy places the organism in Eukaryota, Metazoa, Chordata, Actinopteri, Syngnathiformes, Syngnathidae.